GGGCCGUUAGCUCAGUUGGUAGAGCAACUGACUUUUAAUCAGUGGGUCGCAGGUUCGAUUUUUGCAGGGCGCACUA
RNAcentral lists this transfer RNA (76 nucleotides) under Rhodospirillaceae bacterium. RNAcentral describes it as "tRNA-Lys". It matches the Rfam family "tRNA". Rfam says of the family: Transfer RNA (tRNA) molecules are approximately 80 nucleotides in length. Their secondary structure includes four short double-helical elements and three loops (D, anti-codon, and T loops). Further hydrogen bonds mediate the characteristic L-shaped molecular structure. tRNAs have two regions of fundamental functional importance: the anti-codon, which is responsible for specific mRNA codon recognition, and the 3' end, to which the tRNAs corresponding amino acid is attached (by aminoacyl-tRNA synthetases). tRNAs cope with the degeneracy of the genetic code in two manners: having more than one tRNA (with a specific anti-codon) for a particular amino acid; and 'wobble' base-pairing, i.e. permitting non-standard base-pairing at the 3rd anti-codon position. Lineage: Bacteria; Pseudomonadati; Pseudomonadota; Alphaproteobacteria; Rhodospirillales; Rhodospirillaceae. The record is from RNAcentral.